Molecule: ribosomal RNA, 207 nt
Filed under: Staphylococcus equorum subsp. equorum
Lineage: Bacteria; Bacillati; Bacillota; Bacilli; Caryophanales; Staphylococcaceae
Description: partial 16S ribosomal RNA
Rfam family: Bacterial small subunit ribosomal RNA
Source: RNAcentral
CGGUCCAGACUCCUACGGGAGGCAGCGAGUAGGGAAUUCUUCCGCAAUGGACGAAAGUCUGACGGAGCAACGCCGCGUGAGUGAUGAAGGUUUUCGGAUUCGUAAAACUCUGUUAUUAGGGAAGAACAAAUGUGUAAGUAACUGUGCACAUCUUGACGGUACCUAAUCAGAAAGCCACGGCUAACUACGUGCCAGCAGCCGCGGUAA